This 383-nucleotide unclassified non-coding RNA is filed under the name soil metagenome. Its description in RNAcentral is "partial contains 5.8S ribosomal RNA, internal transcribed spacer 2, and large subunit ribosomal RNA". The stretch from base 1 to 120 matches the Rfam family "5.8S ribosomal RNA", at positions 35 to 154 of the family's 154-position model. The record is from RNAcentral.
GAUGAAGAACGCAGCGAAAUGCGAUAAUUAAUGUGAAUUGCAGAAUUCAGUGAAUCAUCGAGUCUUUGAACGCACAUUGCGCCUCAUGGUAUUCCGUGAGGCAUGCCUGUCUGAGCGUCAGCAACACCACUCAAGCAAUACUUUAUUAGUGCAUUGUCUUGGACUGUAUCAAGGAAGCAGUUGGUUUGUCCAACCGCCCCCUGAAAAACUAUUGAUGGUCAGGUUGUUGCCUAAUACCAAAUGUUGUAUGAUUUCGGUCGUUCGUUUGGAUGUGUGACUUCUUGAUGGUCGUAGAACCCACAGCUCAAUGCUGUACUCUUCUGUCUUGACCUCAGAUCAGGUAGGGAUACCCGCUGAACUUAAGCAUAUCAAUAAGCGGAGGA